This 292-nucleotide ribosomal RNA is filed under the name uncultured bacterium. Its description in RNAcentral is "partial 16S ribosomal RNA". It matches the Rfam family "Bacterial small subunit ribosomal RNA", at positions 505 to 796 of the family's 1533-position model. The record is from RNAcentral.
GUGUCAGCAGCCGCGGUAAUACGUAGGAGACGAGCGUUGUCCGGAGUUACUGGGCGUAAAGGGUGCGCAGGUGGUCGUGCGCGUGGGGGGUGAAAUCGCCCGGCUUAACUGGGCGGGGGCCUUCCAGACGGCGCGACUUGAGGCGCGGAGGGGGACGUGGAAUUCCGGGUGGAGCGGUGAAAUGCGUAGAGAUCCGGAGGAACACCGACGGCGCAGGCAGCGUCCUGGCCGCGACCUGACACUGAGGCACGAAAGCUGGGGGAGCAAACAGGAUUAGAUACCCUGGUAGUCC